AUUCGUUUAUGUUUAUAUCUGUCUAUGGAGCUGUCUGUGUGAUAAAUUCAUUUGCCGCUUUCGCAAACAUAAUACUUUGCUAUUUGGAGUAAUUGAAGUGCUUAGACUAGAUGCAUAGGUGUACGAGGCAGGGGAGCCGAGGGGGGAGGCUGCACCCUCGCCAGUCAGAAUUUUCUCGUAUAGAUUCUACUUUGAAAAUCUGGCAGGUCUAUUUGCC
Molecule: non-coding RNA, 217 nt
Organism: Paramuricea clavata
Lineage: Eukaryota; Metazoa; Cnidaria; Anthozoa; Malacalcyonacea; Plexauridae
Source: the annotation of a GenBank genome assembly